RNAcentral lists this ribosomal RNA (518 nucleotides) under Epilachna tumida. RNAcentral describes it as "partial 16S ribosomal RNA". It matches the Rfam family "Archaeal large subunit ribosomal RNA", at positions 1951 to 2681 of the family's 2987-position model. Lineage: Eukaryota; Metazoa; Arthropoda; Insecta; Coleoptera; Coccinellidae. The record is from RNAcentral.
CUCUUUUUGAUUAUAAUUUAAAGUAGGGCCUGCCCACUGAUUAUUUGAAGGGCCGCAGUAUUUUGACUGUGCAAAGGUAGCAUAAUCAUUAGUUUUUUAAUUGAAAGCUUGUAUGAAUGGUUUGAUGAGGAAAUAACUGUUUCAAUUUAAAUUUUAUGAAUUUUAUUUUUAAGUAAAAAGGCUUAAAUGAAUUUUAAAGACGAGAAGACCCUAUAGAGUUUAACUAAGUUUAAAUUUUUUACUUAAAGAAUUAUUUUGUAGAGAUUUUAAUUAAGUUUUGUUGGGGUGACAAAAAAAUUUAAAUAACUUUUUUUUAUAAAUACACUAAUUAGUGAAAUUUUGAUCCAUGAAUUUGAUUAAAAGAUUAAAUUACCUUAGGGAUAACAGCGUAAUUAUUUUUGAUAGUUCAAAUUGAAAAAAAAGAUUGCGACCUCGAUGUUGGAUUAAAAUUAAUUUUUGGUGGAGAAGCUAAAAAAUUAGGUCUGUUCGACCUUUAAAAUUUUACAUGAUCUGAGUUU